AGAGUUUGAUCCUGGCUCAGAUUGAACGCUGGCGGCAAGCCUAACACAUGCAAGUCGAGCGAGAAAAGCCUUCGGGCUGAGUACAGCGGCGGACGGGUGAGUAACGCGUAGGAAUCUACCUGGUAGUGGGGGACAACAUGGUGAAAACCAUGCUAAUACCGCAUACGCCCUAUGGGGGAAAGCGGGGGAUCUUCGGACCUCGCGCUAUCGGAUGAGCCUGCGUAAGAUUAGCUAGUUGGUGAGGUAAAGGCUCACCAAGGCGACGAUCUUUAGCUGGUCUGAGAGGAUGAUCAGCCACACUGGGACUGAGACACGGCCCAGACUCCUACGGGAGGCAGCAGUGGGGAAUAUUGCGCAAUGGGGGCAACCCUGACGCAGCCAUGCCGCGUGUGUGAAGAAGGCCUUAGGGUUGUAAAGCACUUUCAAUUGGGAAGAAAGGUUGUAGGUUAAUAACCUGCAGCUGUGACAUUACCUUUAGAAGAAGCACCGCUAACU
RNAcentral lists this ribosomal RNA (495 nucleotides) under uncultured bacterium. RNAcentral's name for it is "bacterial SSU rRNA". It matches the Rfam family "Bacterial small subunit ribosomal RNA", at positions 8 to 502 of the family's 1533-position model. The record is from RNAcentral.